Molecule: ribosomal RNA, 497 nt
Filed under: uncultured bacterium
Lineage: Bacteria
Description: partial 16S ribosomal RNA
Rfam family: Bacterial small subunit ribosomal RNA
Source: RNAcentral
GAUGAACGCUGGCGGCGUGCCUAAUACAUGCAAGUCGAGCGAACGGAUGAGAAGCUUGCUUCUCUGAUGUUAGCGGCGGACGGGUGAGUAACACGUGGAUAACCUACCUAUAAGACUGGGAUAACUUCGGGAAACCGGAGCUAAUACCGGAUAAUAUUUUGAACCGCAUGGUUCAAAAGUGAAAGACGGUCUUGCUGUCACUUAUAGAUGGAUCCGCGCUGCAUUAGCUAGUUGGUAAGGUAACGGCUUACCAAGGCAACGAUGCAUAGCCGACCUGAGAGGGUGAUCGGCCACACUGGAACUGAGACACGGUCCAGACUCCUACGGGAGGCAGCAGUAGGGAAUCUUCCGCAAUGGGCGAAAGCCUGACGGAGCAACGCCGCGUGAGUGAUGAAGGUCUUCGGAUCGUAAAACUCUGUUAUUAGGGAAGAACAUAUGUGUAAGUAACUGUGCACAUCUUGACGGUACCUAAUCAGAAAGCCACGGCUAACUACGUG